RNAcentral lists this ribosomal RNA (549 nucleotides) under uncultured bacterium. Its description in RNAcentral is "bacterial SSU rRNA". It matches the Rfam family "Bacterial small subunit ribosomal RNA", at positions 355 to 896 of the family's 1533-position model. The record is from RNAcentral.
UGGGGAAUAUUGCGCAAUGGGGGGAACCCUGACGCAGCCAUGCCGCGUGAAUGAAGAAGGCCUUCGGGUUGUAAAGUUCUUUCGGUAUUGAGGAAGGUUGAUGUGUUAAUAGCACAUCAAAUUGACGUUAAAUACAGAAGAAGCACCGGCUAACUCCGUGCCAGCAGCCGCGGUAAUACGGAGGGUGCGAGCGUUAAUCGGAAUAACUGGGCGUAAAGGGAGCGUAGGUGGUCAUUUAAGUCAGAUGUGAAAGCCCCGGGCUUAACCUGGGAACUGCAUCUGAUACUGGGUGACUAGAGUAGGUGAGAGGGAAGUAGAAUUCCAGGUGUAGCGGUGAAAUGCGUAGAGAUCUGGAGGAAUACCGAUGGCGAAGGCAGCUUCCUGGCAUCAUACUGACACUGAGGUUCGAAAGCGUGGGUAGCAAACAGGAUUAGAUACCCUGGUAGUCCACGCCGUAAACGAUGUCUACCAGUCGUUGGGUCUCUUGAAGACUUAGUGACGCAGUUAACGCAAUAAGUAGACCGCCUGGGGAGUACGGCCGCAAGGUUA